GGUGAGUUCAGCUUUUCGUUAGAACGUGGGUCUCACGAACCUGAUGCCGUAGGUUCAAGUCCUUUGAUAUCU
Molecule: transfer RNA, 72 nt
Filed under: Tetragonia tetragonoides
Lineage: Eukaryota; Viridiplantae; Streptophyta; Magnoliopsida; Caryophyllales; Aizoaceae
Description: tRNA-Val
Source: RNAcentral